Molecule: long non-coding RNA, 1328 nt
Filed under: Coturnix japonica (Japanese quail)
Lineage: Eukaryota; Metazoa; Chordata; Aves; Galliformes; Phasianidae
Description: lncRNA (ENSCJPG00005008421.1)
Source: RNAcentral
CAUGUUUAAUGUUAGCAUGAAUCUGGUAUGUCUUCCUUGCCACAUCCUCUUUCUUUUCCCUUUCCUCCUUAGGCAGAAUUUCAGAAUUGGGAAAAUCAAAGAGGAGAUAAAUCACAGAAUGACCAUAUGACCAGGAUUUCCAGAUGCCUGAGGAAUUCGCUGUACCAGAAGAUUACUACAGUGUUUUCUGCAAAUCUAAAGCACUUCAAAUUACUUCACACAGUCCUGUUCUCCACUCCAAUGAAAUUAAGGUUCACCAAGAUCCACAACACAAAACCUUCAAAUACCAUAUCCCUGCUGCUCUCCUGUAUGAGCAAUUCAUUUACAAGGAUUAACUGUGAUAAAUUGUGUACUAAUGGGAGAAAGUAAAGAAGGCAGAGCUGGACUCAUUUCAGUGGUGCUUAGUGGCAGAGCAAGAGACAAUGGACACAAACAGAAGCACAAGAGUCUCCACCUAGACAUCAGGAAGCACUUCUGUGCUGAGGAUGAAUUAGAAGAUACAAUGUCUUUGCUUUAUAUGUGCGUUCAAAGGACGAGCAGGUAAAAAAUUUAAAACAUAUUUCAAAGAGAAGCACAAAAAAAAAAAAAAAAGUGACAGAAGGAGAAUGUGAUGUAGCAGUUUAAUAACUGUGGGUCUGUGAGGAAAGGAACACACUUCUGUACUGGUUCAGUCUCAAAUUACAAAGUGAUUUCUUCAUUUGUGGAAUAGAAAUAAUGCAGAAAAUGUUAAAUGGCAAGAUCCUAUUUUUAGAAGAGUAAAAUACUUGAAAAAGGGUGCAAUACACACGAAGAGGGAGAUAUGCACUGACAUCACAUGAUGCAAAAGACUGAGAAGAGCCUAACAGCCUUUUCCUUUGGAUAAUCUAUGAUGAAAUGACCAUGCAUGUACACACUUAUCCAGAAGUUACAUAACAAGUCAGCCACUCAAUAGAGGUUACCAUUUAAAAAGAAAGUAGAUGUGAAAGCUUGCAAGCAUUACUGCAUUAUCCAGAAUGAUUGCAUGCACUUUGACAGAAGUCAGAUACCAACACUCUGUACAUAUAGGAAAGGGCUGUGAAAGAAACAUUACCCCUUUUUCUCCACUGCAUAUUAUGUUCAAAGUAUGAGAGUGGAGGAUAGUCUUAUUACCAAACCUAAGCUAUUUGGAAAGCUUUUCCUUUCUCCUAGCAAAGUAUUUUGGAAGCGUUGCCUGGAUCCCCUGAGGUUUUGACCAAUGUGAGCAUCUCUAUCAGAAAACAACAAUUUUCUCUAGAGAUAUAAUCAGACGAUCAGUUAUAAGAAUUUCCACUGUCAAAGCUUUUCUUGUCUACUCAACUAUUAUUGCUUUG